Molecule: ribosomal RNA, 253 nt
Filed under: uncultured bacterium
Lineage: Bacteria
Description: partial 16S ribosomal RNA
Rfam family: Bacterial small subunit ribosomal RNA
Source: RNAcentral
UACGUAGGGGGCAAGCGUUGUCCGGAUUUAUUGGGCGUAAAGAGCGUGUAGGCGGCCUGACAGGUCUGCUGUGAAAACUCGAGGCUCAACCUCGAGAUGUCGGCGGAAACCGUCUGGCUAGAGUCCGGAAGAGGAGAGUGGAAUUCCUGGUGUAGCGGUGAAAUGCGCAGAUAUCAGGAGGAACACCAAUAGCGAAGGCAGCACACUGGUACGUGACUGACGCUGAGACGCGAAAGCGUGGGGAGCAAACAGG